Molecule: long non-coding RNA, 346 nt
Organism: Corvus hawaiiensis (hawaiian crow)
Lineage: Eukaryota; Metazoa; Chordata; Aves; Passeriformes; Corvidae
Exons: 2
Source: RefSeq, a predicted model, not a curated record
CACGGCUUUCCAGGAAAAACACGGACAUGGACGGGAUUCAGCCUCUUCAUCACGUUCCUGAUGCCUCGAAGCCUUUAAUUCCUGCUGGACCAGCUUUGGAUGAAGCCUGGCUGGAUGCUCCGGUGGGGGGAGGGGGGGGAUCAGGAGACCCUCCCAAAUUCCCUCCCACCAGCACAGGACAAACUUUACGAGCCCUGGUGGAACCCAAAUGCUUUUUCCAACCCCAAAAUCCGUGAGGUUUUUUUUUCCUAAGAAAAACAGAUUACGGUGGAGAAAAGCUUGCCACAGAAAGUUGCUGCUUCCUGGGACAAACUUUAUAUCCCCAUAAAAAUACCAAAAGCCAACA